Molecule: ribosomal RNA, 418 nt
Filed under: uncultured bacterium
Lineage: Bacteria
Description: partial 16S ribosomal RNA
Rfam family: Bacterial small subunit ribosomal RNA
Source: RNAcentral
UAUUGGACAAUGGGGUCAACACUGAUUCAGCCAUGCCGCGUGUGUGAAGAAGGUAUUCGGAUUAUAAAAAACUUUAAGUUGGGAGGAAGGGCUUUAGGUCAAUACCUUGAAGCUUUGACGUUACCAACAGAAUAAGCACCUGCUAACUCUGUGCCAGCAGCCGCGGUAAUACAGAGGGUGCAAGCGUUAAUCGGAAUUACUGGGCGUAAAGCGCGCGUAGGUGGUUCAGUAAGAUGGGUGUGAAAUCCCCGGGCUUAACCUGGGAACUGCUUUCAUAACUGCUGAGCUAGAGUACGGUAGAGGGUAGUGGAAUUUCCUGUGUAGCGGUGAAAUGCGUAGAUAUAGGAAGGAACACCAGUGGCGAAGGCGACUACCUGGACUGAUACUGACACUGAGGUGCGAAAGCGUGGGGAGCAAA